AUUGAACGCUGGCGGCAUGCUUUACACAUGCAAGUCGAACGGCAGCAUGCUCUUCGGAGUGAUGGCGAGUGGCGAACGGGUGAGUAAUAUAUCGGAACGUGCCCAGUCGUGGGGGAUAACGCAGCGAAAGCUGUGCUAAUACCGCAUACGAUCUAUGGAUGAAAGCGGGGGGAUCGCAAGACCUCGCGCGAUUGGAGCGGCCGAUAUCAGAUUAGCUAGUUGGUGGGUAAAGCCCACCAAGGCGACGAUCUGUAGCUGGUCUGAGAGGACGACCAGCCACACUGGAACUGAGACACGGUCCAGACUCCUACGGGAGGCAGCAGUGGGGAAUUUUGGACAAUGGGCGCAAGCCUGAUCCAGCAAUGCCGCGUGCAGGAUGAAGGCC
Molecule: ribosomal RNA, 385 nt
Filed under: uncultured bacterium
Lineage: Bacteria
Description: bacterial SSU rRNA
Rfam family: Bacterial small subunit ribosomal RNA
Source: RNAcentral